CUGCGUGCUGUUGUCUUUUGGCCAAUCAUAGUCAAAGACGUCUCUUAAACUUGCAAUUUACUAAGACAUGUAAAAUUGAGCAAAUAAUUUAGCCAUCUUAAACUCGAUUUUUCUUAGAAAAGGAAAAUCUGUCAGAACUUGAGAGAAAGAUAUUAAAUUACUGAAACAUGACUGCUAGAAAUUCAAUUAUGACAAUAUACAAGAAGAUGAGUUUUAACACAAGCUUGUUAUUCGUACUUAUUAUCUUCAGUAUGUUGACGCACGAGACACUAGCGUACUUAUUUUUUCCUGAUCUUUGGUGUAACUUGUGGUAUGAUAAAGGUCCUUGCAACGAAACUUUGGGGAGAUGGUGGUAUAAUUGGACGUCAGGCAAAUGUGAAUCUUUUAUAUAUGGAGGAUGCAAAGGAAAUAGAAAUAAUUUUAUUUAUAUAACAGAUUGCAUUGUUUCAUGUGAAAACGAGAUGGAUUAUAAUGCAUGAUGCUCUUCGGACCUAUAUUCUAGUAACCUAUGUAUUAAUACUUAUAUAUUUGUAAUAGUUUGAUAUUGAGUUUAAAUAGAAGUACUAAAUGAAAAACUCUAUGAGGUCUUUCUAAAAUACAAUUGCAAAAGUGUUUUAUUUUUACAACAAUGACUAAUUAAAUAAAAUGUACGGAUAUAUAUAUGUAUAAUAU
Molecule: non-coding RNA, 672 nt
Organism: Linepithema humile (Argentine ant)
Lineage: Eukaryota; Metazoa; Arthropoda; Insecta; Hymenoptera; Formicidae
Source: RefSeq, a predicted model, not a curated record